CUUGGUGGUCAAAAACAAGGUGGCACUUCAGCUUCAAAAGACUAUUAGAAAAAAUAACCAAAGAAUAUUGUGGAACGAAGAAAAAUUGUUUAAAAUUGUCAAAUUGUUGUAAUUUCAUUGAUUAAUUAAAUAAAAUGAUUUAGAAAUUCUGC
Molecule: long non-coding RNA, 152 nt
Organism: Centruroides sculpturatus (bark scorpion)
Lineage: Eukaryota; Metazoa; Arthropoda; Arachnida; Scorpiones; Buthidae
Exons: 4
Source: RefSeq, a predicted model, not a curated record